Molecule: ribosomal RNA, 899 nt
Filed under: uncultured Pseudomonadota bacterium
Lineage: Bacteria; Pseudomonadati; Pseudomonadota
Description: bacterial SSU rRNA
Rfam family: Bacterial small subunit ribosomal RNA
Source: RNAcentral
GACUUUCACCGUAGCAAUACGGUGGAGGUUGAGUAGCGCAAGGGUGCGUAACACGUGAGAAUCUACCAUAAAGUUGGGGAUAACUCGCUGAAAGGCGAGCUAAUACCGAAUGUGACCAGCCUAUUCUGACCUUCCGAAGCAAAGAAGCGUUUCGGGAGGGUUGAAUAGGCUGGUUAAAGCUGGGGACCGCAAGGCCUGGCGCUUUUUGAUGAGCUCGCGGCCUAUCAGCUAGUUGGCGGGGUAAAGGCCCACCAAGGCUAAGACGGGUAGCUGGUCUGAGAGGACGACCAGCCACACUGGAACUGAGACACGGUCCAGACACCUACGGGUGGCAGCAGUCGAGAAUUUUUCUCAAUGGGCGCAAGCCUGAAGGAGCGACGCCGCGUGGGGGAUGAAGGGUUUCGAUCCGUAAACCCCUGUCAUUUGUGAACAAGGUUCACUCAAUAACACUGGGUGAAUUGAUAGUAAUGAAAGAGGAAGGGACGGCUAACUCUGUGCCAGCAGCCGCGGUAAUACAGAGGUCCCAAGCGUUGUUCGGAUUCACUGGGCGUAAAGGGUGCGUAGGUGGCUUGAAAAGUUUGAUGUGAAAGCUCAGGGCUUAACCCUGAAAUGGCAUUGAAUACUGUCGAGCUGGGGGUUUGGAGGGGGGGACUGGAAUUCUCGGUGUAGCAGUGAAAUGCGUAGAUAUCGAGAGGAACACCAGUGGCGAAGGCGAGUCCCUGGACAACACCUGACACUGAGGCACGAAAGCCGGGGGAGCAAACAGGAUUAGAUACCCUGGUAGUCCCGGCCCUAAACGGUGCGCGUUUGCUGUGAGAGGAAUCGACCCCUUUCGUGGCGAACCUAACGCGAUAAACGCGCCGCCUGGGGAGUACGGUCGCAAGAUUAAACUCAAAGAA